Molecule: ribosomal RNA, 230 nt
Filed under: uncultured bacterium
Lineage: Bacteria
Description: partial 16S ribosomal RNA
Rfam family: Bacterial small subunit ribosomal RNA
Source: RNAcentral
AAGCGUGCGCAGGCGGUUAUGUAAGACAGAUGUGAAAUCCCCGGGCUCAACCUGGGAACUGCAUUAGUGACUGCAUAGCUGGAGUACGGCAGAGGGGGAUGGAAUUCCGCGUGUAGCAGUGAAAUGCGUAGACUAUGCGGAGGAACACCGAUGGCGAAGGCAAUCCCCUGGGCCUGUACUGACGCUCAUGCACGAAAGCGUGGGGAGCAAACAGGAUUAGAUACCCUGGU